RNAcentral lists this ribosomal RNA (748 nucleotides) under uncultured Archangiaceae bacterium. RNAcentral describes it as "bacterial SSU rRNA". It matches the Rfam family "Bacterial small subunit ribosomal RNA", at positions 75 to 803 of the family's 1533-position model. Lineage: Bacteria; Pseudomonadati; Myxococcota; Myxococcia; Myxococcales; Archangiaceae. The record is from RNAcentral.
AAGGGCAACCUGAGUAGAGCGGCGCACGGGUGCGUAACACGUGGGUAAUCUGCCUCAAAGUUUGGGAUAACCUUCCGAAAGGUUGGCUAAUACCGGAUAAGCUCACGAGGUCUUCGGACUUUGUGGGAAAAGGUGGCCUCUGUUUACAUGCCAUCACUUUGAGAUGAGCCCGCGGCCCAUCAGCUAGUUGGCGGGGUAACGGCCCACCAAGGCUACGACGGGUAGCUGGUCUGAGAGGACGAUCAGCCACACUGGAACUGAGACACGGUCCAGACUCCUACGGGAGGCAGCAGUGGGGAAUUUUGCACAAUGGGCGAAAGCCUGAUGCAGCAACGCCGCGUGUGUGAUGAAGGUCUUCGGAUCGUAAAGCACUUUCGACCGGGACGAACAACCUCUGGGUAAUUCUCAGGGGCCUGACGGUACCGGGAGAAAAAGCACCGGCUAACUCUGUGCCAGCAGCCGCGGUAAUACAGAGGGUGCAAGCGUUGUUCGGAAUUAUUGGGCGUAAAGCGCGUGUAGGCGGCUUGUUAAGUCGGGUGUGAAAGCCCUCAGCUCAACUGAGGAAGGGCGCCCGAAACUGGCGAGCUUGAGUGUCGGAGAGGAUGGCGGAAUACCCCAAGUAGAGGUGAAAUUCGUAGAUAUGGGGUGGAACACCGGUGGCGAAGGCGGCCAUCUGGACGACAACUGACGCUGAGACGCGAAAGCGUGGGUAGCAAACAGGAUUAGAUACCCUGGUAGUCCACGCCGU